CAGUCGCCGCGGGAAUACGAAGGGUGCAAGCGUUACUCGGAAUUACUGGGCGUAAAGCGUGCGUAGGUGGUGGUUUAAGUCCGUUGUGAAAGCCCUGGGCUCAACCUGGGAAUUGCAGUGGAUACUGGGUCACUAGAGUGUUGUAGAGGAUAGUGGAAUUUCCGGUGUAGCAGUGAAAUGCGUAGAGAUCGGAAGGAACAUCUGUGGCGAAGGCGACUAUCUGGGCCAACACUGACACUGAGGCACGAAAGCGUGGGGAGCAAACAGGAUUAGAUACCCCCGUAGUCCCUGUCUCUUAUAC
Molecule: ribosomal RNA, 301 nt
Filed under: uncultured bacterium
Lineage: Bacteria
Description: partial 16S ribosomal RNA
Rfam family: Bacterial small subunit ribosomal RNA
Source: RNAcentral